RNAcentral lists this transfer RNA (64 nucleotides) under Panopea globosa. RNAcentral describes it as "tRNA-Leu". It matches the Rfam family "tRNA". From Rfam's summary of the family: Transfer RNA (tRNA) molecules are approximately 80 nucleotides in length. Their secondary structure includes four short double-helical elements and three loops (D, anti-codon, and T loops). Lineage: Eukaryota; Metazoa; Mollusca; Bivalvia; Adapedonta; Hiatellidae. The record is from RNAcentral.
AUUAAAUUAGCAGAAGUAAUGUAUUUGAUUUAGGAUCAAAAGGUGUAGGCGUCUACAUUUAAUA